UACGUAGGGUGCAAGCGUUGUUCGGAAUUACUGGGCGUAAAGGGCUCGUAGGCGGCCAACUAAGUCAGACGUGAAAUCCCUCGGCUUAACCGGGGAACUGCCUCUGAUACUGGAUGGCUUGAGAUUGGGAGAGGGAUGCGGAAUUCCAGGUGUAGCGGUGAAAUGCGUAGAUAUCUGGAGGAACACCGGUGGCGAAGGCGGCAUCCUGGACCAACACUGACGCUGAGGAGCGAAAGCCAGGGGAGCAAACGGG
RNAcentral lists this ribosomal RNA (253 nucleotides) under uncultured bacterium. Its description in RNAcentral is "partial 16S ribosomal RNA". It matches the Rfam family "Bacterial small subunit ribosomal RNA", at positions 524 to 776 of the family's 1533-position model. The record is from RNAcentral.